This 487-nucleotide ribosomal RNA is filed under the name uncultured bacterium. Its description in RNAcentral is "bacterial SSU rRNA". It matches the Rfam family "Bacterial small subunit ribosomal RNA", at positions 28 to 526 of the family's 1533-position model. The record is from RNAcentral.
GAUGAACGCUGGCGGCGUGCCUAAUACAUGCAAGUCGAGCGCCCCUUUGUGUGCUAAUCAACAUCGAUAGUUGGUUGUCAUACAUGGGGAGCGGCGGACGGGUGAGUAACGCGUAGAAAUGUACCCCAGACUGAGGGAUAAGCCAGAGAAAUCUGGUCUAAUACCGCAUACGGUCUACGGAUUAAAGCUUCGGCGGUUUGGGAACAGUCUGCGUAGGAUUAGCUAGUUGGUAAGGUAAAAGCUUACCAAGGCGACGAUCCUUAGCUGGUCUGAGAGGAUGAUCAGCCACACUGGAACUGAGACACGGUCCAGACUCCUACGGGAGGCAGCAGUAGGGAAUCUUCCACAAUGGACGAAAGUCUGAUGGAGCAACGCCGCGUGCAGGAUGAAUGCCUUCGGGUUGUAAACUGCUUUUAUUUGUGAUGAUUGAAGACAGUAGCAAAUGAAUAAGGAUCGGCUAAUUCCGUGCCAGCCGCCGCCGUAACAC